AUGAUGUAUAAAUUGCGGACCUGUAGAGUUACUAUACCCCUAUACCCUGUUGUAUGUAUUUUCAGCUGCUGCUCCACUCAGAAUUGUCACAGGGGAAAGGAUGCUGUCAUAAAUCACUACGAAAUGGUGUUGAAUUCUAUUUACACCGCACGCAGUUGCAGAAAGGUUACAUGUCUGUCUUUAUCCUGCCUGUCUUCUACCCUUUGCGGGAAUGAAGUGGCCACUGAGAAGAUGAGCAAGAAAGUGUGAGUAUUUGUUAUACAUCUGCCCAAUACCCAUGUCCUUUCAGCAAAUGUUUCAUCUCCUUUUAAAUAUUUUAUAUUUCUUUUGUGUUUUUUUUUUUUUUUUUUUUUUUUUAUGAUCUGAAUAUUUCUUUUUAUAUACCUGAGAAAUCAACUUUUAUGAGAUCAAUUAUGAAGCAAAGUAUAUGAAUUCAAUGACAGAAGAUGAUAUUCACGAUUACAUGAACUUAUGUCUGCUAAGAGAUAACUUUUUGAUUUCCAGGAAAAACAUAUUCAGAUCUCGGAAAGCAAGAAACUGAAAGAACCAACAUCAUUUCAACCCCAUAUAGAUAGUACUUGCCAGUGGGAACAACGCCGAAGUUACAUGCGGUUUGUCAGAUAGCGUGGUGCUUGGCACAAAAAAAAAUAGCUGUGCUUGGCACAGCUUGGUUGAAUUGGGACUAUUAGAAGAGGUAAUUUGAAAGUCCAGUGCCCGUCAUGACUGCAUUACCGAGGUUGUGUGGCACAGGCCCUGUUGCUGAGUACCAUGCUAUGUGAUCUUAAUGGUGACUAAAAGGAAGAAGUAUAGGUGACAGCUUU
This 821-nucleotide long non-coding RNA is filed under the name Anser brachyrhynchus (Pink-footed goose). RNAcentral's name for it is "lncRNA (ENSABRG00000006067.1)". Lineage: Eukaryota; Metazoa; Chordata; Aves; Anseriformes; Anatidae. The record is from RNAcentral.